Molecule: long non-coding RNA, 1911 nt
Organism: Brassica rapa (field mustard)
Lineage: Eukaryota; Viridiplantae; Streptophyta; Magnoliopsida; Brassicales; Brassicaceae
Source: RefSeq, a predicted model, not a curated record
AUUUUAGUUAAAAUAUUGAUAAGUUUCAAACAAAAUUUAAAAAAAUCUCAAAUUCAAAACAAAUCUUUUUUAAAAAAAAUUAAAUUUUAGGAAUAUAAUAACUAAACUUUGGAUAAAAUUUGAAAAUUUAGAAAAACUUGGAUCGUCUUUGAGAUUCAUUUUGAUAUUUGCUUCUAUUAUACCCACAUGUCGCGUCUCUACCUCUUCUAUCAAUGAUGUUGGCCUUUGAAUAAAAGUCAAGCCCCAUUCCCUUUGUUGAACUUCUAUCAGAAGGAUAUCAUUGAUAGUAUUUGUAGUAAGCAUUCUCUUCGGUGUUGGAUUGUGCAGAGGCACAACUAGUGUGUCCCAAGUCUUUGGCAGUGAACUAACAAAUAGAUUGGCUUGCAUUUUCUGUUCGACCUUCAUUUCGACUUUAUUUAGAUGAUUUUAUGAGUUUUUUUUUAUUGUUUCAAGUUUUCUAUAAUUCCAAAUAUACAUGUUUUUUUGGGUGCAAAUGUUAAAAAACAUAGACAUGUUCAAAAAACAAAUUAGCCGAUGGCUUACAGAUUACUACAACCAUGCACUUUUCUAUUUAGAAUACUCCAUGUCUUUGUCAUAUUUUCUUUUGUCUAGUCUUUCAUGAUGGUGGAUUCAUGCAAAAUCUUGCGAUAAAGAGUAUUUUCUAUCAUAGGUUUCUAAUAAAAGUAAUUUUCCUUCAAAGGGAAUGAUAAUAUCCAUCUUCAUUCGCACCAGAAAUCUGUUGAUGUUACAAAAGAUGAGAAAGAAACAAUUUAGAAUUUGAAAAUAACUUUUAUUUUGGAGAAGUUUGAUGUUAUUUAGUGGUCUGAGAAUAACAUUCUCUAAGAAAUAUUUCUACUUGCAUUAAUUUUACAAAUAUCACCAACACUUUUAUUUAUAACUUAAACAUUGUCUAAUCUCCGUUUCGCUAUUUUCUAAAUUCGUCCCUAUUAGACUUUUCUUUUGGGAUGAUGUAGAGAUCAUCCAACAGUAAAUUUAGUGUCCUAUAACUUUAGGCUUUUAUUUGUGGCAUUCGUCCUUCGAAUAGCUAUGGCAUAUAAUAGCCACAAAAAGUCACAUGAUAAAUACAAAUUUCUGUUUUUUUUUUUAAGCAUAGCUGUUUUAUGACUAUUUGUGGCUAGAAAACUUUAGCCACAUAAUUUUGCAUUGUUGAAUUGUGGGUAAACACAAUUUUUCUUGUAGUGAUUCUCCAAUAAGAUAUGUCUGUUCUUUUCUUACAUGAUACUGAUACUGGUAGUCCGGUCUUCUACAAUAUUGGUUGUUCUGGUCUUCCACGAAAAAAUGAAAAUUGGGAGCACAAAGAAAUUUUUCUUGUUGCUUCUUUCUCAUCCGCCGUGUCCCCAAUUUCCGGCUUUUUCUUUUACUAUUGCUUGAGUUUUAGUUUCUACUUUUAUUGCUUCAGUUCUCCGAUCAUUGUUUUCGCAUAGACAAGGCGUUAGGGUUCUCGUCGCUGAAAAGGGACAUGAGCUUAUCGUCUGUACCUCCCGGCUGCGCCUGAGCCUGCUCCGACUUCCUCACAAAACCCGCUGGUGCCCUCUUGUCGUAAGCUCCAGCUGCGUACGGAUAAGCCACCAUCGUGUAAGGAACAUACGGCCAUAACUCAGCUUUCUUCUUCCCAGUGCUUUGCACUCUCUUCAAUACUUUCUUGGGAUCCACGUAGCCACUCACUGUCACUUUGUGCAUCUUUCUAUUCACUUCCACCGAUUUUGCCCCUUCAGAAAAAAAACGAGUGGUGUAUAUAUUAGUUAGGCUAGCUGCGUUUGGCUGAUAUAAUUUGGAAAGUAAUUACGUUUCUGAAAUAUGAAAUGUCAAAUUACGUAAUCUUAGCUAUUAGUACGGUAGAGUCAAUGUUUUAGAGUUUUAUUACACGUAUAGAUAUCUUAUGUGAUUUAA